AAUAGAUACCCUGGUAGUCCACGCCGUAAACGAUGGAUACUAGCUGUUUGGUAGUAAUACUGAGUGGCUAAGCGAAAGUGAUAAGUAUCCCACCUGGGGAGUACGGGCGCAAGCCUGAAACUCAAAGGAAUUGACGGGGGCCCGCACAAGCGGUGGAGCAUGUGGUUUAAUUCGAUGAUACGCGAGGAACCUUACCAGGGCUUAAAUGUAGUUUGACGUUAUUGGAAACAGUAAUUUCUUCGGACAAAUUACAAGGUGCUGCAUGGUUGUCGUCAGCUCGUGCCGUGAGGUGUCAGGUUAAGUCCUAUAACGAGCGCAACCCCUGUUGUUAGUUGCCAGCGAGUAAUGUCGGGAACUCUAGCAAGACUGCCAGUGUAAACUGCGAGGAAGGUGGGGAUGACGUCAAAUCAUCACGGCCCUUACGUCCUGGGCCACACACGUGCUACAAUGGCCGGUACAGAGAGCAGCCACUAUGCGAAUAGGAGCGAAUCUAUAAAGCCGGUCACAGUUCGGAUCGGAGU
This 521-nucleotide ribosomal RNA is filed under the name uncultured bacterium. RNAcentral describes it as "bacterial SSU rRNA". It matches the Rfam family "Bacterial small subunit ribosomal RNA", at positions 777 to 1304 of the family's 1533-position model. The record is from RNAcentral.